CAGCAGUGGGCAAUAUUGCACAAUGGGCGCAAGCCUGAUGCAGCCAUGCCGCGUGUAUGAAGAAGGCCUUAGGGUUGUAAAGUACUUUCAGCGGGGAGGAAGGUGAUAAAGUUAAUACCUUUGUCAAUUGACGUUACCCGCAGAAGAAGCACCGGCUAACUCCGUGCCAGCAGCCGCGCUAAUACGGAGGGUGCAAGCGUUAAUCGGAAUUACUGGGCGUAAAGCGCACGCAGGCGGCAAUUAAGUCAGAUGUGAAAGCCCCGAGCUCAACUUGGGAACUGCAUCUGAAACUGGCUGGCUAGAGUCUUGUAGAGGGGGGUAGAAUUCCACGUGUAGCGGUGAAAUGCGUAGAGAUGUGGAGGAAUACCGGUGGCGAAGGCGGCCCCCUGGACAAAGACUGACGCUCAGGUGCGAAAGCGUGGGGACCAAACAGGAUUAGAUACCCUGGUAGUCCACGCUGUAAACGAUGUCGAUUUAGAGGUUGUGGUCUUGAACUGUGGCUUCUGCAGCUAACGCGUUAAAUCGACCGCCUGGGGAGUACGGCCGCAAGGUUAAAACUCAAAUGAAUUGACGGGGGCCCGCACAAGCGGUGGAGCAUGUGGUUUAAUUCGAUGCAACGCGAAGAACCUUACCUACUCUUGACAUCCAGCGAAUCCUUUAGAGAUAGAGGAGUGCCUUCGGGAACGCUGAGACAGGUGCUGCAUGGCUGUCGUCAGCUCGUUGUUGUGAAAUGUUGGGUUAAGUCCCGCAACGAGCGCAACCCUUAUCCUUUGUUGCCAGCGCGUAAUGGCGGGAACUCAAAGGAGACUGCCGGUGAUAAACCGGAGGAAGGUGGGGAUGACGUUAAGUCGUAUCAUGGCCCUUACGAGUAGGGCUACACACGUGCUACAAUGGCAGAUACAAAGAGAAG
Molecule: ribosomal RNA, 910 nt
Filed under: uncultured bacterium
Lineage: Bacteria
Description: bacterial SSU rRNA
Rfam family: Bacterial small subunit ribosomal RNA
Source: RNAcentral